AGUGAACGCUGGCGGUAGGCCUAACACAUGCAAGUCGAACGGCAGCACAGUAAGAGCUUGCUCUUACGGGUGGCGAGUGGCGGACGGGUGAGGAAUACAUCGGAAUCUACUUUUUCGUGGGGGAUAACGUAGGGAAACUUACGCUAAUACCGCAUACGACCUACGGGUGAAAGCAGGGGAUCUUCGGACCUUGCGCGAUUGAAUGAGCUGAUGUCGGAUUAGCUAGUUGGCGGGGUAAAGGCCCACCAAGGCGACGAUCCGUAGCUGGUCUGAGAGGAUGAUCAGCCACACUGGAGCUGAGACACGGUCCAGACUCCUACGGGAGGCAGCAGUGGGGAAUAUUGGACAAUGGGCGCAAGCCUGAUCCAGCCAUACCGCGUGGGUGAAGAAGGCCUUCGGGUUGUAAAGCCCUUUUGUUGGGAAAGAAAAGCAGCAGGUUAAUACCCCGCUGUUCUGACGGUACCCAAAGAAUAAGCACCGGCUAACUUCGUG
RNAcentral lists this ribosomal RNA (492 nucleotides) under uncultured bacterium. RNAcentral's name for it is "partial 16S ribosomal RNA". It matches the Rfam family "Bacterial small subunit ribosomal RNA", at positions 29 to 507 of the family's 1533-position model. The record is from RNAcentral.